CUGGGAACACUGCGGUCGGGGCGAGGAAGCUGCCGGGGAAGUGAGAUGACGGUCGCGGGGGUGCCCAGGAGCCCUGAAAAACUUGUGCCCUGGACACGGCAAAAUCUGCAGGUUGCAGAAAGUCUCAACUGAUCCUGGCAUACCCCGAGGUGCCGACUUUUAGAGCUGAAGAUGCAAGAAAGAUCGGGAUCCUGCGAUGCACCGAACCUGUCUCUCGAAGUGUGUGCGCCCUGGUACAUUGAUACUCUUGGCCUUUGGUUCCUUGCGGUGUGCGUGUUUGUGUAUGCGGAGUGUGUUAUCUUUGUUUCUAGGGUGACACACCAUUUAUUUGAGAGGCGGGCAAGGCAGAAUCACUAGUUUAAUAUUCUGAAAAGCCAAAGUUAUGCCAUUUUGCUUGAGAGUGAGUGCAAGCUCUUGACUCCAAGGAACAGUGCAGCUAACAAUUCACCUCAGGCUAGGGCAGAAGCAAUAGCCAGCUUCUUGGUUCUGCCUGUGGCUCAGUUCCUACAUAAUUGAGUACCAAAUAAUAUGUAAACCUCUAGGGAAGCAAAAAAGAGUAAUUCAGCUUCUACCCCCG
This 577-nucleotide long non-coding RNA is filed under the name Pan troglodytes (chimpanzee). Its description in RNAcentral is "long non-coding RNA NONPTRT001178". Lineage: Eukaryota; Metazoa; Chordata; Mammalia; Primates; Hominidae. The record is from RNAcentral.